RNAcentral lists this ribosomal RNA (253 nucleotides) under uncultured bacterium. RNAcentral describes it as "partial 16S ribosomal RNA". It matches the Rfam family "Bacterial small subunit ribosomal RNA", at positions 524 to 776 of the family's 1533-position model. The record is from RNAcentral.
UACAGAGGUGCCAAGCGUUGUUCGGAUUUAUUGGGCGUAAAGGGUGCGUAGGCGGUCGCGCAAGUCGGAUGUGAAAUCCCGGAGCCUAACUCCGGAACGGCAUUCGAAACUGCGCGGCUCGAGGUCUGGAGAGGUGACUGGAAUUCUCGGUGUAGCAGUGAAAUGCGUAGAUAUCGAGAGGAACACCAGAGGCGAAAGCGGGUCACUGGACAGAACCUGACGCUGAGGCACGAAAGCCAGGGGAGCAAACGGG